UACAGAGGUCUCAAGCGUUGUUCGGAUUCAUUGGGCGUAAAGGGUGUGUAGGUGGCGCGCUAAGUCGGGUGUGAAAUUUCGGAGCUUAACUCCGAAACUGCAUUCGAUACUGGCGUGCUUGAGGACUGGAGAGGAGACUGGAAUUCAUGGUGUAGCAGUGAAAUGCGUAGAGAUCAUGAGGAAGACCAGUGGCGAAGGCGGGUCCCUGGACCAUCACUGACGCUGAGACACGAAAGCGUGGGUAGCAAACAGG
This 253-nucleotide ribosomal RNA is filed under the name uncultured bacterium. Its description in RNAcentral is "partial 16S ribosomal RNA". It matches the Rfam family "Bacterial small subunit ribosomal RNA", at positions 524 to 776 of the family's 1533-position model. The record is from RNAcentral.